UUUGGGUGUAACCUGAAAUCAUUGUAUUUUUAUUUUUGUUUAUUUUAAUUUUAAAAUGUGCAAUUCAUACUGUUAAAAAUGUUUAAAUAAUUUUUCCAUGUUUUAAAAUUUGUAUUAGUUAAAAUGUAUUUACCUUGAAGUAUGAGCCAAACAGAAGUCAGGGUGAGAGGUCAGGAGAAGAAGAGAGAGUCACACAGGCGUGAGAGCUCGCACUGGAGUCUUGCUAGUAAAGUUAGCUUAUGUUAGAAAACCAAUGCAGUGAAGUGAUAUUGUGUGUAUGUAUGUAAGUAAGUAGACAAACGGACAGUGAAUCUUAUUACUACAUUAUACAGUGAUAUUUCGACAGUCUAUAUAUAUUAUAUUAUGAUGUGUUUACUACGGAAACUCGGACAGACUUUUAGAAGAUUCAAGGUGGAUACAGCGACAGCUAGUCAAAUCGACGUUCGCUUUGUGCCGUGGAAGUGAGUUCCGGAACUUUUAGUGAGAAUAGCCAUAUGUGGCCAUCCCGCCCACUCAUUUGAGCAUCGUUCCCGGAUCGUCAGUGACCCGACACAACUGUGGACUGUCGCGACGACGUCUCCACUCCAGCAUUACCAACACUAUGUGUGCCAUCACCACAGUGAGGAGGAGGAGGAGGACGCCGCCGCACGAAAUCAAUGGCGGGAGAAAGGUUUUCUGUCGGGAGAGGAGAGGAGACAGCCGAGUCUGAGAAACACACUCUUCUUCUGGCAGCAUUUGGCUGCGGCAGGCCUGUGAGGCCCGCUGGCUCUGAAGUGGUUUGGACAGUGUGCUGAGGAGACCAACACCUCCUCCUCCACCACCACCUCCUCCUUCACCACAUGCCUCAGCCGUUUACUCAUCUGUUCAUUGACUAAUGGAGGGGCGGGUCAGAGGUCAACUCCUGCACAGACAAACAAAUAUGCUCUUCUCCUGGCUCUCUUCCCUAGCGGGGAUAACUAAUUACCAUCAAUGGCCUUGAUUGAUAGUCAUUACUUUGAUUGGAAAUCAGUAACCGCCAUCAGUGCAGUUAUUGUUGAUGAAAAGGCUGGCUGUUUUAAUGCAU
Molecule: long non-coding RNA, 1063 nt
Organism: Clupea harengus (Atlantic herring)
Lineage: Eukaryota; Metazoa; Chordata; Actinopteri; Clupeiformes; Clupeidae
Source: RefSeq, a predicted model, not a curated record